CAGUCGUACCGACGAGAAAUCAGCUUAUCGUGUGUGAACUUGUGGGCGUGCGUGAGUUUCGGCCUCGCUGUUUGCAUGUUUGUGCGCUUUGGGUGUACUUUUUCGUAUGGUUGGCCAACAUCAGUUUCGAUUACUAUAAAAUGACUGGCGGAAUGUAGCUUCGAUUUCGGUUGAAGUGUUAUAGCCUCUGGUAGAUGUGGUGAUUGGGACUGAGGAUUGCAACGAAUAUCCUUUGGGCUAUCCGUCUGGCCUCUGAAAGUUGCUUGGGUGCUGAAAGCUUGCUUAUGGUUAUCUAAGUUAACGGUCAAUAGGUUAGAACGCGAUUACAUUCGUUAAGGAUGUUGGCGUAAUGGCUUUAAACGA
RNAcentral lists this ribosomal RNA (363 nucleotides) under uncultured Glomeraceae. RNAcentral describes it as "partial large subunit ribosomal RNA". Lineage: Eukaryota; Fungi; Glomeromycota; Glomeromycetes; Glomerales; Glomeraceae. The record is from RNAcentral.